ACUGGGUGUGGUGGCUCACACCUGUAGUCCCAGCUACUUGGGAGGCUGAGGUGGGAGGAUCACCUGAGCCUGGGGAGGUUGAGGCUGCAGUGUGCCGUGAUCACGCCACUGCACUCCAGCCUGGGCAACAGAGUGAGAUCCCCCCAUCU
Unclassified non-coding RNA from Pongo abelii (Sumatran orangutan), 149 nucleotides. It matches the Rfam family "Metazoan signal recognition particle RNA". From Rfam's summary of the family: The signal recognition particle (SRP) is a universally conserved ribonucleoprotein. It is involved in the co-translational targeting of proteins to membranes. The record is from Ensembl. NCBI's taxonomy places the organism in Eukaryota, Metazoa, Chordata, Mammalia, Primates, Hominidae.